Molecule: ribosomal RNA, 393 nt
Filed under: uncultured bacterium
Lineage: Bacteria
Description: partial 16S ribosomal RNA
Rfam family: Bacterial small subunit ribosomal RNA
Source: RNAcentral
AUACGGAGGAUCCGAGCGUUAUCCGGAUUUAUUGGGUUUAAAGGGAGCGUAGAUGGGUUGUUAAGUCAGUUGUGAAAGUUUGCGGCUCAACCGUAAAAUUGCAAUUGAUACUGGCAGCCUUGAGUACAGUUGAGGUAGGCGGAAUUCGUGGUGUAGCGGUGAAAUGCUUAGAUAUCACGAAGAACACCGAUUGCGUAGGCAGCUGACCAGACCGCAAAUGACGCUCAUGCACGAAAGUGCGGGGAUCGAACAGGAUUAGAUACCCUGGUAGUCCGCACAGUAAACGAUGAAUACUUGUUUUCGGCGAUAUAAUGUCGGAGGCAAAGCGAAAGCGAUAAGUAUUCCACCUGGGGAGUACGCCGGCAACGGUGAAACUCAAAGGAAUUGACGGGG